AGAUCCACCUGCCCCUACCUCCCUAGUGCUGGCGUUAAAGGUGUCCACCACCACUGUUCAGCUGACCUAAAGUGUUUCUUAGGUGAAACCCGCUAGGCCGCCAUGCUUGACAACCCGUUGGGAGAAGGCCUAGGAAGCUGGGCUGAGUAUCUGGGCAGGAGUGUGCCUCUACUAGGUAGCUGGGAUGCUAAAGCCGGGGCUGCCUGUGAUGUGGCCUGUUCCCUCCUGUUUCCAACCUGCCUUGGCAGCUGUGCAUGUUCAGCUCUUUGAUUUAUAGGCAGAGAGGCCACAUUUGGCAAAGCUGGAGUGUGAAAGUCAAGCUGAACCUGCCUAAUUGUGCCUGCGAAGGCAAUUCAGAGAAGCUGCUCUUGGAAGGGAAUCAGGACAAUUAGCUCUGAGCUGUGUGGAGAAGGGACAAGAGAGCUCACCAUGGUGAAUGUCAGCCUGUCCCUGGGGGAAGCAAAGGGCAGCAUUGAGUGAGAGUGAAGAGGUGACUCUAAUUUGUGUCAAAUCACAAUACAAAACAAAAGCACACAGCCCUUUUUGCAUCUGAGGAGACAGAGCUCCAAGGGAGAUUCCCCAAAUAGAAGCCCCCCACCCCGACCCCUGCCAGCCACUUCUGUGUCCAGCUGUCCACGGGAUGUGAAGCCAGGCCAUGUUCAGCUUUUUCAGCCAGCGCAGAGGAACAGCUGCCCCCCAUCACCGAUGGCACAGGGAGGAAGUCUCCUCAGCAUGCUUUAUGGUGUUGAGCAUCAUUGCUGAUGCCAUCCUCUGCUGGGUGGACCAGAAUGGUGAUGGAUGAAGAACAGAAGAGCCAAGGCCUGCUGGAGCAAUUGGGAGAGACCCUUCUCCAGGGAGACUGGAUGCUGCCUCCAAAAUCUCAAGAGCUCUUCUGGAAAAGGAGGCUCUGGAAGAUUCUUUUGCCCCAAGUGUGGCAAGAGGGGCUGAAGCAGACGGAGCUCUCUGAGAUCACAGCCCACCUCUCACCGCCCACCUUCAAGAAGCUCAUAGAUCCAUCUUAAAAGCCUUUCCAAUAAAGCCUUGGAGACAA
RNAcentral lists this long non-coding RNA (1051 nucleotides) under Mus musculus (house mouse). RNAcentral describes it as "predicted gene, 36862". Lineage: Eukaryota; Metazoa; Chordata; Mammalia; Rodentia; Muridae. The record is from RNAcentral.